Molecule: ribosomal RNA, 497 nt
Filed under: uncultured bacterium
Lineage: Bacteria
Description: partial 16S ribosomal RNA
Rfam family: Bacterial small subunit ribosomal RNA
Source: RNAcentral
GAUGAACGCUGGCGGCGUGCCUAAUACAUGCAAGUCGAGCGAACAGACGAGGAGCUUGCUCCUCUGACGUUAGCGGCGGACGGGGGAGUAACACGUGGAUAACCUACCUAUAAGACUGGGAUAACUUCGGGAAACCGGAGCCAAUACCGGAUAAUAUAUUGAACCGCAUGGUUCAAUAGUGAAAGACGGUUUUGCUGUCACUUAUAGAUGGAUCCGCGCCGCAUUAGCUAGUUGGUAAGGUAACGGCUUACCAAGGCAACGAUGCGUAGCCGACCUGAGAGGGUGAUCGGCCACACUGGAACUGAGACACGGUCCAGACUCCUACGGGAGGCAGCAGUAGGGAAUCUUCCGCAAUGGGCGAAAGCCUGACGGAGCAACACCGCGUGAGUGAUGAAGGUCUUCGGAUCGUAAAACUCUGUUAUUAGGGAAGAACAAAUGUGUAAGUAACUAUGCACGUCUUGACGGUACCUAAUCAGAAAGCCACGGCUAACUACGUG